Long non-coding RNA from Canis lupus familiaris (dog), 705 nucleotides. RefSeq lists it as uncharacterized. The record is from RefSeq and is a predicted model, not a curated record. Lineage: Eukaryota; Metazoa; Chordata; Mammalia; Carnivora; Canidae. The transcript is spliced from 3 exons.
AGAUGGAACUCCUUAUUCCAGGUGCCUGCCUGGAAGGGGAGGGUCCCUGAAUGGCUGGAGGGAAGAAGCUUUGCUUCAGCCGCUGCCACCUCUGAUUGCCUGGAUCAUCUGCUGCAAUGCUGCACCUCUGACAUCUGGCCCUCUGACAGCAGAUAAAGCAUUGAAGAUAAGAAUUGACCUCUGAGUAUUUCUGUGACUUCAUCCCAAAGGUUUUCUGUAUUCUGAGGAGCUCUAAUUUUGAAUUUAUCCAAGAAAGAGAACAAAGAACAAGAAAGUGUGAGUAAUAAUAAAAACUGGAAAAUAAAUUCAAACUUACGCAAAGAGUUGAUGGUAUCAGUACUGCAUCUGGCACAAGGAGACAUAUUCCUCCAAACUCAUUACUUAACCUCAAAAGAGCCAAACUGACUUCUUGGAUUUUGUUUGGUUUAAAUUACAGAUGAUGUUUUCUUUGAAAAAAUAUUCAUUCUUGAAUGAAUUUUCCUCUAAACCAUGGAGUGUGGAAAGGGAGGAGAACAAGGAAGAGGAAGAGUGAAGAGUACCUAUUGAUAAUGGCAGAUCAUAGACAAAAGUGGAAAUCUGCCAUCUCUUCUUCCUCCUGUGGAACAGGAGUCUAUGUCAUGUAAUAUCAGAAAAACAAAAAGGACCACCCAUCUCUUUCAGAGAAGCUACAUUCAGAACUCCUUUUAUAAGACAAAAUAGCCUAGU